UGAUGUAUUCACUUUCAGCGC
RNAcentral lists this non-coding RNA (21 nucleotides) under Arabidopsis thaliana (thale cress). Lineage: Eukaryota; Viridiplantae; Streptophyta; Magnoliopsida; Brassicales; Brassicaceae. The record is from RNAcentral.